Long non-coding RNA from Herpailurus yagouaroundi (jaguarundi), 990 nucleotides. RefSeq lists it as uncharacterized. NCBI's taxonomy places the organism in Eukaryota, Metazoa, Chordata, Mammalia, Carnivora, Felidae. The record is from RefSeq and is a predicted model, not a curated record. The transcript has 2 exons.
AUCACAACCUGAGCCGAAAUCAGGAGUCGGCUGCUUAACCUUAAGACUGAACCACCCAGGCGCCUCUGUUGAUGUCUUUCUUGAUACAUCUAUGAUAGAAAUUUCACUGGGAUGCCAAGCACUGAUAGAACAAUUGUCGUGGCUCCAGAUGGCAUUACCCUCGGGUACAGGAGGCUUACCGCUUUCUCUGGGAAGCAGCUAGAAUUUAGGCAGGUGAGCUAAUCCAAUAUGGAGCUGAGCUCACUCAGCUGGGGUCCACGUCUCGUUAACCAGGCUAGUGACCACGUCUGCUUUGACAACACUUCUGCGGUCUGGCGCUCCAGGGUUCUAGAUCGAGAGGCUGGAGUUUCCCUGGGCUGUUUCUUGUUGGCAUGCCUUGAAUUCUAGAUUUCGUCUCCAGGGCCUUGAGACAGAAGUACACCCGUCUCCUGCAACCGCUAACCCACAGAAGCAAUCCAGCUACCCUGCAGAAACACUACCUUGAGGGUGGUGUGCCUCUUCCUUUCCACGCAUCCACAGAAAUCCUAGAGUUCCUUGAACCGUACCCUGAAAACACAUCUAUCGCACACGCAAAGAGACUGGAAUAUGGGGAGCAGGAGUUCUCUCGGAGUCUCAGAGCAGUGAGAGCUGAACUUGGAGCCAGCCCGCCUUUCUGGCCCCGCCAGGCCUGUGCCGUGGGCUCUGGGGGGCUCUCAGGGAAGGAGGGAUGUGCCGGACGCUCACACCAGGACUCGGUCCGGCCUCAGACACAGACUCUACGAUCCCAGGCCCAGGAUCUGCCGUAAGUUCUCAUCAGACACCCUGCAUAGGUUGUAGAGGUCAGACUUCGGAGAGGCUGCCUUUGGACCACCUCUGUCUUGUCUGGGGCCGGGGCAAGGGGCUCUAGAACCUUGCAGCAUGCCCCAGAUUAUCUGUGUUUUCUGGAUCCUUCUGGCUGGGACGAACGCCAAGGAUGUGCACUCAGAAAAAGAUUCGCCUUUCCGCCCUCCA